CCGAGUGGUGUGGAUGUUUAUUGGGCCUAAAGCAUCCGUAGCUGGCUAAGUUAGUCCCUUGUUAAAUCCACCGAAUUAAUCGUUGGAUCGCGGGGGAUACUGCUUGGCUAGGGGACGAGAGAGGCAGACGGUAUUUUCGGGGUAGGGGUGAAAUCCUAUAAUCCCGGGAAGACCACCAGUGGCGAAGGCUGUCGG
This 195-nucleotide ribosomal RNA is filed under the name uncultured crenarchaeote. Its description in RNAcentral is "partial 16S ribosomal RNA". It matches the Rfam family "Archaeal small subunit ribosomal RNA", at positions 484 to 679 of the family's 1478-position model. The record is from RNAcentral. Lineage: Archaea; Thermoproteati; Thermoproteota.